CCGUAACUAUAACGGUCCUAAGGUAGCGAAAUUCCUUGUCGGGUAAGUUCCGACCUGCACGAAUGGCGUAACGAUGGCCACACUGUCUCCUCCCGAGACUCAGCGAAGUUGAAAUGGUUGUGAAGAUGCAAUCUACCCGCUGCUAGACGGAAAGACCCCGUGAACCUUUACUGUAGCUUUGCAUUGGACUUUGAAGUCACUUGUGUAGGAUAGGUGGGAGGCUUAGAAGCAGAGACGCCAGUCUCUGUGGAGCCGUCCUUGAAAUACCACCCUGGUGUCUUUGAGGUUCUAACCCAGACCCGUAAUCCGGGUCGGGGACCGUGCAUGGUAGGCAGUUUGACUGGGGCGGUCUCCUCCCAAAGAGUAACGGAGGAGUUCGAAGGUUACCUAGGUCCGGUCGGAAAUCGGACUGAUAGUGCAAUGGCAAAAGGUAGCUUAACUGCGAGACCGACAAGUCGAGCAGGUGCGAAAGCAGGACAUAGUGAUCCGGUGGUUCUGUAUGGAAGGGCCAUCGCUCAACGGAUAAAAGGUACUCCGGGGAUAACAGGCUGAUACCGCCCAAGAGUUCAUAUCGACGGCGGUGUUUGGCACCUCGAUGUCGGCUCAUCUCAUCCUGGGGCUGUAGCCGGUCCCAAGGGUAUGGCUGUUCGCCAUUUAAAGAGGUACGUGAGCUGGGUUUAAAACGUCGUGAGACAGUUUGGUCCCUAUCUGCUGUGGGCGUUGGAGAUUUGACGGGGGCUGCUCCUAGUACGAGAGGACCGGAGUGGACACACCUCUGGUGUACCUGUUGUCACGCCAGUGGCAUCGCAGGGUAGCUAAGUGUGGAAGAGAUAACCGCUGAAAGCAUCUAAGCGGGAAACUUGCCUGAAGAUGAGAUCUCCCUGGGGACUCGAUCCCCCUGAAGGGUCGUCCAAGACCAGGACGUUGAUAGGCCGGGUGUGGAAGCGCAGUAAUGCGUGCAGCUAACCGGUACUAAUUGCCCGUGAGGCUUGACCCU
RNAcentral lists this ribosomal RNA (997 nucleotides) under human metagenome. RNAcentral describes it as "bacterial LSU rRNA". It matches the Rfam family "Bacterial large subunit ribosomal RNA", at positions 1934 to 2925 of the family's 2925-position model. The record is from RNAcentral.